RNAcentral lists this unclassified non-coding RNA (381 nucleotides) under Hevea brasiliensis (rubber tree). Lineage: Eukaryota; Viridiplantae; Streptophyta; Magnoliopsida; Malpighiales; Euphorbiaceae. The record is from RNAcentral.
UUUAUGUCAUUUUGUGUCCACUCUGAGCUUUGAGUACCGUCGUUUCAUCUAAUUUCAUUUGAUGUAUUUUGUGUUUUAUUUUCCACUACUCUUAUUGUUGAUUGAUAAUUAAUAGGUCCUUUUCGAGUUUUAAUAUCUGGGACAUUUUGUAAAUGGAUAUUAUUUUCAUGUUAGCUUUGUUCAAUUUCAGGGAUUAGGAAUUGAUUUUUGUUGGCUAUUGUGGGCUUUAAGAACUGAGAAUGUAAAUGGUAGUUUUGAAGUUUGAAAUGAAGGGAAACCUUCCUCUACCCUUUGUCCUUUUUGGAAUUUAAAUUAAGAAGAAGCCCUUUUGAUUGUCUGGUGCUUUGAAGUUUAUGGGAAAAAGCCAAUAGUUUCUAAGUG